This is a long non-coding RNA of Bactrocera oleae (olive fruit fly), 3318 nucleotides long. RefSeq lists it as uncharacterized. Lineage: Eukaryota; Metazoa; Arthropoda; Insecta; Diptera; Tephritidae. The record is from RefSeq and is a predicted model, not a curated record.
UCUAGGAUGGCAUCAUGAGACCGAAACUAUGAAUGUACAAGUUGCAUCUUCAAAAUAUGCAUGAGCAAUGUGCAGUCUCCAUUGGCAAUAUUGCUAGCAAUUUUUUGCAAUCUUUAAUUGCCUGUCGAAAUGCCCCGUUAUUUAUUGAUAACUAGUAGUGCGAACCCUACAAGAAACUGCUGACGGGUUCACCAAUACACUCACAUUUAUUAUGUCAGUACUGACAGUCAAAUGAACAGACAAUCAAAUUAACAGUAAACUGUCAGUGUUUACGAUUUUUCAAAAAUUUUCUGUAUUAGUCGAAAAAAGACAGCAUAUAUUUCAAUAGAAGUUUCGAGAAGUUGUGAAACAGCUAUGAAGCUGUUAUUCCGUGCGAUAAUCCAAAAGUGUUGCGUGCUCCUGUGCAAUAACUCUCUUUGUGUUAAAAAAAUAAAUAAAUAUCGAGGGAGUUUUCAAAUAUAUACGUCAGUAAUUAUUAUGUUUCAAAUAAAAUUAUUUUUUUUUUGUUAAAUCUUCAUUUUUUGAGGCAUUUUUAAAUUCCGAAAUAUUUAUGAACUGGAGAAACACAUACAACAGAGCUUGUGAGAGGAGCAAGGAUGGAAACAAGUGAAAUUUUCUUUUCAUAAUUUAUUAUUUAAUAAUAUUUUUUCACACUCUUUUUUUGUAUUUAUGUAUAUUAUUAUAACUUAUAUUAAUUAAAUUUUUGAAUUUAUUAAAGAAAUAAAAAUUAUAUUAUCUACUGCGCAAAAGAAUUUUAUACUUGUAUAGACGUACAGUCAUAACUGACAAAUUGCAGCUAUGAUAACGUUUCAGUCAUAACUGACUAUUUUCAGCAAUGAUGGACGUAUGGUCAGCAAUGACUCAAGAAAGACAUGAGAGUGAGCAGUAUAGAUAUAUAGUGAAUCAAUUCCGAAUACCCAUGUAUUAAAGAGAGAUGCAGACUCACACACACGUUUUUUUACAUCAGUUUUUACACAAGACUCUUAAGAAAAUGAUAGAAACUUUGUUCUGCGCGUUGACAAAAAUGACUGUCACUGUUCCUGUCUGGAAGUGAAGAUCUCUGCAAACUACUUACUUUACCUUCUCAGAUACAUACAUACAUAUACAUAUAAAACACAUAAAGCAACGCAUAAAAUAUGGGCGUAUUGAAGCAAGUUUUGCUGGUAAACGGCCUUUAAACGACCUACACGCGCUCUUCGCUAAGCAAAAACGAAAUUCGUUCGUAUUGCCAUAUGAGGAGCGGGACUCAGAAAGAAACUCUUGCCAUAUCUUUAAACGAAUUCACAUAGGCAGUCUUAUACAUACAUAUCUACAUAUAUGUAUAUGUGAUAUACAUCUGUAUGUAUGUAUACUUUCGAACAUUUACGAAUUCAAUUCUUGUUUGUGUAUCCACGUUAUGGUGUAUAACUAUUUGGUUUCUGUCGACUCCAAGACGCCUUCUUCCCACCCAAACCUCCUCGCAUGCCAUUGAAGGUAAUAUUUAAUGUGUGUAUUUUUCAUUUUUAAUUUGAUCUCUCAUGGCUCUCCAUGACUAUUUUAGCUCCAAUGAUAGCCACAAAUAAAAUUAUGUUGAUACAUUGAUAUACUUAUGUACAUAUGUAUGUAAACUGAGAGCAAAGUUGCUUCGACUUUAAGUUCGUACACAGUAGUUUUGAUAUCCGAACGCUGUGCACAAACCGUUGUUCUACGGCUGGCCACUCAUUCGCGGAACAACUGUCUAUCGCUGCAGAUGUGGUAACGGUUUGUGGACUGUAGUUAGUAAACCGUAAACUUGAUUGUUAAAAAUCGUGUUUCAGCCCUCGUUUUGUGAACUUCGCUUUCGUCAAUUUUCACAUCUAUACAUAUACAUACAUGUAGAUGUACAAGCAAUUACAUAUGUGUUGAUUUUUCCAUAUUCUGCGAUGAUCUUGUACUUUUUAGCUUUGUCGGUCGUCACUAUUCGCAUUCCGCUGUUCUGGCGACAUAGUUUUCGUAAAUGCACGUAACGGUACUCUCGCAAAUUCCACAAAUCCCGCUAGACAAGUAAAAUAUAGCAACGCAAAUAGAAACAAAAAAAUUAUGGAUUAAUAGAUUUAGAUCGAUGUUUCAUUGGUGAUGCCAACUAAGUGAAGAUUUGAGGGCUAAUUAAGAAGAUGAAAAUUUUUAAACAAAAAUCAAAACAACUCAAUUCUGUUAUUGCUCACGAAAUAAAUAGAGGAAGGUAAAUAACUGUUAAAAUGUGCAUUAGUAGAGCCAAAACGGAUAUGCUGCAUAUACGACAACGCUUUUAAGGCUGAUCAAAUCCAUUGGAACUUUCUAAUACCAAUUGUACGCACAUGCUUAAGGUCAAUCGAAGUUUUUCAACAUUUUGCCAUAAGAAUUAAGUUUUAGACAUCGGCGAACGCAGAGAGGAAUGCAAGAUCUAUUUAAAACACAUGCAUAUAUUUAGAAGGAUACUUUUAUUUAUGAAUUGUUUUUACUUUUAACAUAAUUGAGAUAUAAACUAUCCUAUAUUUUAAGUUGGAUCAGACUCCGGACAAACAAUGGGUUCAACUUCAUUGUUUGUCGAAAUCUUGAAUGGAUUACAUCAAAUUUGGCAUCAUAUUAAUUUAUUUUGAUGUUCAUAGACUCACUUAGUUUCAUAACUAUAUAUUACAUCCCAUCAGCAAAAAAUUGUACUUAAAUCAUCCUCUAAUGAAAUAAAAUGUUCCCCACAAGUCGUGCUAUAAAAAUAAACCGUAAUAACUUUUUUGUUAUAAAUGUAUUACAUUUAUUUAUUUAUAAAUAAAAAAAAAUUUUAUUUUAUUUUAUAUAAAAAAUUAUUUUUAAAAAUUAUGGACCGUAAAUGACCCUGACAUGCUCAGCGGCCUGAAGGGUUGAAGUCGGAACUGCCUCAAUCAUUUUUUUUAAUGGACUACUUCAAUCUCGUCAGGUUUCUUGGUUUUGCUCUCUCGCUUGGCAUAACCCCAUAAAAAAAACUCUGGCGCAGUCAGGUUAAGUGACCUUGGGGGCGAGAGGAAAGUGGAGAAUAUUAAUUGGUUUUCAAAUUUGCGUUGGAGCUCCGCAAUAACCGGUCUGGCUAAGUCAUAAACAUGUUUACCAACAAACAUGUCCAUCUACUCGGGGAGUGCCGUCAAAAUUCCGCCUGAAUUCCCUUUGAAAUGACGGACUGCAAAGCAUGGUACCGCUGCACUAUCCAAACCCUCUUUUCGGUAUACCAAACAUUCAUUUUUAAAAAAUUUAAAUAAUAACAUGCCAAAUAAAAAAAAAUUAAGACGAAUGCUAACACAGAAAAAGUUAUUAAAGGUUUGUUUUUGUGGAACGAUUCGUCAGUCACCC